CGCCUGGGGAGUACGGCCGCAAGGUUAAAACUCAAAUGAAUUGACGGGGGCCCGCACAAGCGGUGGAGCAUGUGGUUUAAUUCGACGCAACGCGAAGAACCUUACCUGGCCUUGACAUGCAGAGAACUUUCCAGAGAUGGAUUGGUGCCUUCGGGAACUCUGACACAGGUGCUGCAUGGCCGUCGUCAGCUCGUGUCGUGAGAUGUUGGGUUAAGUCCCGUAACGAGCGCAACCCCUAUCCCUAGUUGCUAGCAGUUCGGCUGAGAACUCUAGGGAGACUGCCGGUGACAAACCGGAGGAAGGUGGGGAUGACGUCAGGUCAUCAUGGCCCUUACGGCCAGGGCUACACACGUGCUACAAUGGCGCGCACAGAGGGCUGCAAACCCGCGAGGGGGAGCCAAUCUCACAAAACGCGUCGUAGUCCGGAUCGCAGUCUGCAACUCGACUGCGUGAAGUCGGAAUCGCUAGUAAUCGUGAAUCAGAAUGUCACGGUGAAUACGUUCCCGGGCCUUGUACACACCGCCCGUCACACCAUGGGAGUGGAUUGCACCAGAAGUGGUUAGUCUGACCUUCGGGAGGACGAUCACCACGGUGUGGUUCAUGACUGGGGUGAAGUCGUAACAAGGUAACCGUA
This 634-nucleotide ribosomal RNA is filed under the name uncultured Marinobacter sp. RNAcentral describes it as "bacterial SSU rRNA". It matches the Rfam family "Bacterial small subunit ribosomal RNA", at positions 870 to 1504 of the family's 1533-position model. Lineage: Bacteria; Pseudomonadati; Pseudomonadota; Gammaproteobacteria; Pseudomonadales; Marinobacteraceae. The record is from RNAcentral.